GGGAGGCAGCAGUGGGGGAUUUUGGACAAUGGGGGAAACCCUGAUCCAGCCAUCCCGCGUGUAUGAUGAAGGCCUUCGGGUUGUAAAGUACUUUUGGCAGAGAAGAAAAGGUAUCCCCUAAUACGGGAUGCUGCUGACGGUAUCUGCAGAAUAAGCACCGGCUAACUACGUGCCAGCAGCCGCGGUAAUACGUAGGGUGCAAGCGUUAAUCGGAAUUACUGGGCGUAAAGCGUGUGUAGGCGGUUCGGAAAGAAAGAUGUGAAAUCCCAGGGCUCAACCUUGGAACUGCAUUUUUAACUGCCGAGCUAGAGUAUGUCAGAGGGGGGUAGAAUUCCACGUGUAGCAGUGAAAUGCGUAGAUAUGUGGAGGAAUACCGAUGGCGAAGGCAGCCCCCUGGGAUAAUACUGACGCUCAGACACGAAAGCGUGGGGAGCAAACAGGAUUAGAUACCCUGGUAGUCCACGCCCUAAACGAUGUCAACUAGCUGUUGGGGCCGUUAGGCCUUAGUAGCGCAGCUAACGCGUGAAGUUGACCGCCUGGGGAGUACGGUCGCAAGAUUAAAACUCAAAGGAAUUGACGG
Molecule: ribosomal RNA, 580 nt
Filed under: uncultured beta proteobacterium
Lineage: Bacteria; Pseudomonadati; Pseudomonadota; Betaproteobacteria
Description: bacterial SSU rRNA
Rfam family: Bacterial small subunit ribosomal RNA
Source: RNAcentral